UGGGGAAUCUUCGGCAAUGGGGGCAACCCUGACCGAGCAACGCCGCGUGAGUGAAGAAGGUUUUCGGAUCGUAAAGCUCUGUUGUAAGAGAAGAACGAGUGUGAGAGUGGAAAGUUCACACUGUGACGGUAACUUACCAGAAAGGGACGGCUAACUACGUGCCAGCAGCCGCGGUAAUACGUAGGUCCCGAGCGUUAUCCGGAUUUAUUGGGCGUAAAGCGAGCGCAGGCGGUUAGAUAAGUCUGAAGUUAAAGGCUGUGGCUUAACCAUAGUACGCUUUGGAAACUGUUUAACUUGAGUGCAGAAGGGGAGAGUGGAAUUCCAUGUGUAGCGGUGAAAUGCGUAGAUAUAUGGAGGAACACCGGUGGCGAAAGCGGCUCUCUGGUCUGUAACUGACGCUGAGGCUCGAAAGCGUGGGGAGCAAACAGGAUUAGAUACCCUGGUAGUCCACGCCGUAAACGAUGAGUGCUAGGUGUUGGGUCCUUUCCGGGACUCAGUGCCGCAGCUAACGCAUUAAGCACUCCGCCUGGGGAGUACGACCGCAAGGUUG
This 550-nucleotide ribosomal RNA is filed under the name uncultured bacterium. RNAcentral describes it as "bacterial SSU rRNA". It matches the Rfam family "Bacterial small subunit ribosomal RNA", at positions 355 to 896 of the family's 1533-position model. The record is from RNAcentral.